RNAcentral lists this ribosomal RNA (253 nucleotides) under uncultured bacterium. RNAcentral's name for it is "partial 16S ribosomal RNA". It matches the Rfam family "Bacterial small subunit ribosomal RNA", at positions 524 to 776 of the family's 1533-position model. The record is from RNAcentral.
UACGAAGGGGGCUAGCGUUGCUCGGAUUCACUGGGCGUAAAGGGUGCGUAGGCGGGUCUUUAAGUCAGGGGUGAAAUCCUGGAGCUCAACUCCAGAACUGCCUUUGAUACUGAAGAUCUUGAGUUCGGGAGAGGUGAGUGGAACUGCGAGUGUAGAGGUGAAAUUCGUAGAUAUUCGCAAGAACACCAGUGGCGAAGGCGGCUCACUGGCCCGAUACUGACGCUGAAGCACGAAAGCGUGGGGAGCAAACAGG